RNAcentral lists this ribosomal RNA (425 nucleotides) under uncultured bacterium. RNAcentral describes it as "partial 16S ribosomal RNA". It matches the Rfam family "Bacterial small subunit ribosomal RNA", at positions 354 to 796 of the family's 1533-position model. The record is from RNAcentral.
GUGGGGAAUCUUGCGCAAUGGGCGAAAGCCUGACGCAGCCAUGCCGCGUGAAUGAUGAAGGUCUUAGGAUUGUAAAAUUCUUUCACCGGGGACUAUAAUGACGGUACCCGGAGAAGAAGCUCCGGCUAACUUCGUGCCAGCUGCCGCGGUAAUACGAAGGUGGCUAGCGUUGCUCGGAAUUACUGGGCGUAAAGGGCGCGUAGGCGGACAGCUUAGUCAGAGGUGAAAGCCCAGGGCUCAACCUUGGAAUUGCCUUUGAUACUGGCUGUCUUGAGUUUGGGAGAGGUGAGUGGAACUCCGAGUGUAGAGGUGAAAUUCGUAGAUAUUCGGAAGAACACCAGUGGCGAAGGCGACUCACUGGCCCAAUACUGACGCUGAGGCGCGAAAGCGUGGGGAGCAAACAGGAUUAGAUACCCCUGUAGUCC